GUUUUAGAAAAAAACACCAAUAUUAUCUUAUCCAGUCUGAGCAGUGAGUGAAAUUAGAUGGACCUCUGAUUCCUCAUCUCUCCCUUUCCCUCCGCGAUGCAAUAGCUACUCUCGGACUCUGCCGCCAUACAAACCAAUUCAACUUUCUGCUAUGACUCUAAACCUUUGCACUCCAUGUUUCUCUCGCCUACUCCACCACCCUUCUUCUUCACUCCCCAACCACACCCCUUACCCCUCUCUAUUCUUCUUUACUUCCUCACUCCACAACCAAUCCAGGUUCCCAAACGCCAAAGCCUCCGUCAGUGAGAGCCACAAUGAAACCUCCGACCACACCGCUGCCGACCUACUGGACCACCAACUUCUCCUCCGAAUCGCCGCAAACGCCAAAGACGCCGUCGAAGCCUUGCAGAUGAUCGCCCAAAACUCUUCCCGAAACGACGGCGUCGUUUCCACCUCUGAUUGCUGCUCCAUUAUAACCGCCGCGCUUAACCGCAACAAUCCGCAACUCGCUCUCUCCAUUUUCUACGCCAUGCGCGCCAGUUUUCAACAAGUUGGCGAGACUGGUCCUUUGGUUGAGAGAUGGAAGUGGUCAAGGCCAAAUGCACAUGUUUACAUGUUGUUGAUUCAGGGUUUAGCUGCGGUGUUGAGGGUUUCUGACGCUCUUAGGGUCAUUAAGUAUAUUUGUGAGGUUGGCGUUUCUCCUGGUGAGGAGGUUCCUUUUGGGAAGAUAGUGAAGUGUCCUAGUUGUCGGAUUGCUGUGGGUGUUGCACAGCCACAACAAGGUAUUCAGAUAGUAUCUUGUGCAAAGUGUCGCUACCAAUACGAACUUGUUUCAGGUGACAUAGUCAGUAUUGAAUCAGAAGAAAUCAGCAUGGACAUUACCGCAUGGGAAAGGGGGUUAAGAUUACUGAAACUGAUGAAGCAAAGCAUUCCUACUGCUGUUCACUCUAUUGUGGUGCAGACCCCUUCUGGUCUGGCUCGCACUCAUAGAUUUGCAACUGAAACAGUUGAUCUGCCAGCACAAGAAGGGGAAAGGGUAACUGUUGCUGUGGCAGCUCCAUCAAAUGUAUAUAGAAAGGCUGGCCCUUUUAAAUUCAGUCCAAGGGCCCCUGAUUUCUAUCCAGGUGAGGCUAUGUGCAUAACAAACCACAAAGAUGGGCGGGAAUCACUGCUGUUAAGAGCCCCAAGAAAAGAAGAAAAUUCAUCAUUACUCAAACCCUCCCUCAUCUUUCCACUUCUAGCUUUUUUGGCCACCGGUGAUGCUGCCUCUGGACUUAUUGACCCCAGUCUUCCCCAAUUGGUAUCAGUUGUUGCAGUUUCAACUCUUGUUGUUGGAUCUACAUUGAACACUGUUGUUCUUCCUCAAUUUAACCAGCUUCCACAGAAGUCAGUAGAAGCAAUUGCGAUCAAACAACAACUUUUAUCUCAAUAUGAUGUUCUUCAGUCUCGCAUCAACGACCUAAAAGAAGCUGCUGAAAAAGAGAUUUGGAUGUUAGCUCGAAUGUGCCAACUUGAGAACAAAAUUUCAGCUGUUGGAGAACCUGCUUAUCGGACUCGGAGAAGUAAAGUCAAAAGGGUGAGAGAGAGCUUGCAAAACUCCCUCAGGGGACGGAUUGAAUUGAUUGACAGCUAUGCUAGGAUUUCCUCAAUGAUUGAAAUCGAAGUGGAGAUGGAGACUGAAGUUCUUGCUGCUGAAACUGCUAGUAAUGUGGAUAGUAUCAAAGAACAGAUAGAGCAAAUCAUGGAGCUUGAAAAUUUGGAGGAGAGAUGGAAAAUACAAGCAGAAGCCAAUGAUGAAGCUGAAAGACUUCUUAGUUCUCAGCCCAUGCCUUUGGACGAAGUUUAAAGAUGUAUGGAUGCAUCUGGUUCGCACUACUGUAUCAAUAGUCAAGCUUCACCUCCCAGCUCAAUGGUAUUUUCUACUGACCAAAAACAGCAACAUCCAAUCACCUGUCUUUUAGCAGGCAAGUUUUGAAAUUUUGGUAUCUUAGAACAAUCACCAUUAUGUUACCCAUAAGGUUUACAAAGUAUAUGAUUAUAAAUAUGAUACUAUGUGGCAUCUAAUGCAAAUAUUUGUUGCCACUGAACCGUGAACCGUCCUCGCAGAUCUCAAAGUCAAUGGUAGAUACCAGCAAUGUGGUGUAAAUUCGUUGUUAACUUCUUGCGUACAUGGGAUAAUGGAAGCUUCGCAAGCAGAAUCAAUCGGGGAAUGGUGAGCCAUAAUGCGCCAUCUAACAACAAAACCUGAGCAAAGAAUCGUACCUUAAAAUAGAAAAUGGAGCCUUCGAAGGUUUAACAAAGAGAAUCAAGCCUUCAAAAUUGAACGAGAGAUGAUGUCUUCAAACCGAGAAGAGAAUUGUUCCUUCAAAGGAAAAUAAAUAAAUAAAAAUGAGCCCUAAUGUGCGUCUCACACAAAGCAUUAGUCGCACGCCUCAACGGCUAAAAUUUAUUGUCAUUUUAGGUAUGAAAAAAUUAUCUCUCCAAUGGACUCACAAUUGGUCUCACUGUUGCAAGCUUGCACAGUCUGCAGACUCCACAAGUUUAACCAAAGCUUACAAGAAAAUAAUUUUGUCUAAUUGUUUGGCUCUAUUCACUUGAGCAGACUCGUAAUCUCGUAUGAUUUUAUGAGUUAAAUCGAGAGAGUUCGACAAUCAUGGAUAUAAUCUUUGUUGAGAAGUGUAUAGAGGAAAUAAAUUGGAAACUAGAGAUGUCAUAUUUAUUUUUGAAA
This is a non-coding RNA of Cajanus cajan (pigeon pea), 2728 nucleotides long. The record is from RefSeq and is a predicted model, not a curated record. NCBI's taxonomy places the organism in Eukaryota, Viridiplantae, Streptophyta, Magnoliopsida, Fabales, Fabaceae.